This is a long non-coding RNA of Phalaenopsis equestris, 1580 nucleotides long. RefSeq lists it as uncharacterized. The record is from RefSeq and is a predicted model, not a curated record. Lineage: Eukaryota; Viridiplantae; Streptophyta; Magnoliopsida; Asparagales; Orchidaceae. The transcript has 3 exons.
UCGCAGGCGAUUUUUGAACUAAAUGAGAUGGCUGAUUCUUUCAAUCAAAAUCAAUUCGAAUCCUGCCACCAUGCACUGCCAAACUUCUUUCUUUGAUUUUCCACAUUCAGAUAAAGCUGAUCCUAUCCUCUGGUUGAUAUAAGUGACAAAGGUUUAACGGAAUGGCUGCAAUUUUUAUUUCAUGAGUUUUAAUUGUGAGAAUGUAUUCUAUGUCAAAUCUGGACUUGGCACUUAUUAUAAAAAAGGAUAAUUACAUACAAACCACCCGAAACGUUGAUAUUUAGAAAUAGCCAGUUUCAGGUGGUCUGCAUGUAAUUGCCUCCCAAGAAAAGCCUCUGCCUGUGAAAUUAAAAUUUAAGUUUAUGAUUUUUUGUUGUUUUUAAUUCAGAAUUACUCCAGCAGGGUGCCAUAUUUGGAAACCAUAUAAGACUUCAUUACAAGGGUGAUUUACAUAGGUACUUCUCUUAUCUUGUUUCAUAUCUAGCACUUUAUCUUCAAUUUUUACAUACCAAAUUACUUCAGCAUGAACAGGUUUGUUUCACCUUUUAAAAUGUGAUAUGUAAGAUUUUGGUUGUAUAAAUAUAAAGAGUAAAUCUAAGUGUUGGAUAUGCAAUACAUAAGAAUCUGGGUGGUAUGUAUGCAAAUUUUCUAUUUAGGAAGAUUUUAGAACCUUUAUCAGAUAUUCUCAGGUCUCAGAUCUGGAUGGUCUUCCCUGUUAUUUUCUUCUUUAAACUUUUUGAUAUUGUUAAGCCUGAAGGUUUUCAUGCUUCGCUGUUCUAAAAUGUCCAGUCAAUCCCUGCAAAUAGAUAGUUUCAAUCCUUAUGGGUUAAUUAGAGAUUGAGAAAAGUGCCACAAUAAUCAAUACGGAGUUGAUUUAGCUGUAGAUUCUUAAAAAAAUGUUAACGAAUAUUUACAAACAUAUCACUCAUUUCUCAUGUAUUUAAAGUCUGUUAUUUUAUUGCUUAUGAUUUGCUUUGUGUGCCAUAUUAUGGUGAAUAUUUCAUCUGGACACCACACGAUCGGAUGACCAAUCACCGGGGCCAAGUCGCCACGGGUGACAUGGCCGCUGGUGGUUGGCGUAAGUGCUUCAGGAUAGAAUAUUUUUUUUGCCAAAUAUAGCUAUUGUCAUUUUCAAUGAACUUCUUUUGUAUAACACCAACACAGAUUCUGAAGAACUGUGUGAGUUAUAAACACUUUUUAAUCCUUUAAAAAAUAAAUGCUUGAAUGUUUGAUAUAUUCUUGUUUGUUUCUUUGUUUAAUUUUAAAUGCCGCACAACAAGUAUCUUGCAAGGGCGCUCUACAAGCUCAUUAUGAUUUGUCUCUAUUUUUCCAGAACAAUCUCUUAAGGAUACUCUACAAGCAACUAAAACAGGCUAAUGCUAUCCACAAAAUCCCAGUUAUUCAUUUGUUCGCAGGAGAUCUUUGAACUAAAUGAGAUGGCUGAUUCUUUCAAUGAAAAUCAAUCCGAAUCCUGCCGCCAUGCACUGCCAAACUUCUAUCUUUGAUUUUCCACAUUCAGAGUUACUCCAGCAGGCUGCAAUAUUUGGAAAGACUUCAUUACAAGGGUGAUUUACAUCGGU